GAAUGCCGCAUACCGCGUUUUGCGGUAACUUAUGCGGUUUUCCUGCCUGGGAGAUCAUGAAACAUCAUUGUCAGUAACUCACCAAUAAAUCACCUGAUUCAGAGGAACCAGUGUGUUAAAGAACACAACUCGCCUAAUUCCGAGGAUGCUUAAGGAAUAAUAAAGAAUGAAUAGCAACAAUGGGCAAAUCUUUUCAGCUUUAUUUGCCGCUUGUGAAAUUUUUGUUUACAAUUCGCGUCCUUCUGUGCUGCUUUAUAUGAUAGGUUAUCGGUGAAACGGUGUGUUACCCGAGAAAGAUUCCGCUGUUUUUUACCGCCAUAAGUGUUAUUAAUUAUGUAGUGUUUUGUAGUUAAAGUGUGUUUACUUUGUGUGCGUGAGAACGUUUGGAGAUGCCUCGCCGUGCGGGCCGUUGCCCAGCGCCGUCGCCGUAAACGGCUAGCGCAGACGCGGCGCGAGACCGAAGCGUUGCGGAACGCUGAGCGUCGCCGUGAGCGUCGUAGAGAGACCCGAGAGACCCACCGCCAGCAGGAGAGGAAGCGCCACGAGAACCGAGAGGAGGGGGAAGAGCAGACCGGUCAGUCACCUGCACACCUUGGAACCGGAUUCAAGGGUGUGAGACGAAGCAAAGGCUCACCCCCAAAAAAUUGCCAUUAGAACUGAGAAGUUAACUACAGACACAUGAUGAAGCGAGGGGCAGAAGACACAGGCGGAGCAUACACUGAAAAAAAUCCCGAUUCAUAAUGAAACAAAAUUCCUAGACCUUCAUUGGAAAAAAGACAAGGCUCCAAAUGUGAAAAUAUACACGGCUGAAAAAGAUCCGUGCCUGUACAUACAUGGGACCGAACAUGGCAGAGAAAAAUGAAUGCUGGGGACUGUUAUGUCAUGUAUUACCAUGUGGAAUGCCAAUGUUAAUAGAUCGGAUUUGCACCA
Amphibalanus amphitrite is the source of this 930-nucleotide long non-coding RNA. RefSeq lists it as uncharacterized. The transcript has 2 exons. NCBI's taxonomy places the organism in Eukaryota, Metazoa, Arthropoda, Thecostraca, Balanomorpha, Balanidae. The record is from RefSeq and is a predicted model, not a curated record.